UGCGCAGCGUGAAGUCGGCCUCAUCGCCCACGCGGGAGGCGCUCGGUACCACCAGGUAGUGGCCAGGUGGCAGACGACAGCGGCGGCUCACGUCGCGGCGGGCGCAGAAAACCGAACGGUCGGCGCGCAGCAGCCCAGAAUGACUCAGUCUCUAGACCACCCCCUCCGAGGGCCCUCCGACCAGUUCCAAGGCCUCCACGGCCCACUGCUCCACCAGAACUCACCUUGAUCCCGCCCUUACCUGGAACACGUGGAAGCCCACAGUGAGGCUCCAACAGCGUCAGCCGGAACUGAGGAUUGGUCCAGAAGUUUUCUAACAGAAGAAAAGACGAUGGGGUUCCCACUGCCGCAGACCCCACCCCAGCUUGCCUCUUAGGGGGGCUCCAGGCCUCACCAGAACUCGGCUG
This is a long non-coding RNA of Nannospalax galili (Upper Galilee mountains blind mole rat), 407 nucleotides long. RefSeq lists it as uncharacterized. The transcript is spliced from 3 exons. The record is from RefSeq and is a predicted model, not a curated record. NCBI's taxonomy places the organism in Eukaryota, Metazoa, Chordata, Mammalia, Rodentia, Spalacidae.